GACGAACGCUGGCGGCGUGCUUAACACAUGCAAGUCGAACGGAAAGGCCUGCAGCUUGCUGCGGGUACUCGAGUGGCGAACGGGUGAGUAACACGUGGGUGAUCUGCCUUGCACUUCGGGAUAAGCUUGGGAAACUGGGUCUAAUGCCGGAUAGGACAGCUGUUUAGUGUCAGUUGUGGAAAGUUUUUUCGGUGCAAGAUGAGCUCGCGGCCUAUCAGCUUGUUGGUGGGGUAAUGGCCUACCAAGGCGUCGACGGGUAGCCGGCCUGAGAGGGUGUACGGCCACAUUGGGACUGAGAUACGGCCCAGACUCCUACGGGAGGCAGCAGUGGGGAAUAUUGCACAAUGGGCGGAAGCCUGAUGCAGCGACGCCGCGUGGGGGAUGAAGGCCUUCGGGUUGUAAACUCCUUUCGACAGGGACGAAGCUUUUGUGACGGUACCUGUAUAAGAAGCACCGGCUAACUACGUG
Molecule: ribosomal RNA, 468 nt
Filed under: uncultured bacterium
Lineage: Bacteria
Description: partial 16S ribosomal RNA
Rfam family: Bacterial small subunit ribosomal RNA
Source: RNAcentral